GUCGCGGCGCUCAGAAGUCUCUCCCCCCCGCCCACCCAGGCGGCGUCUUCCCCGCCGCCGUCGCUCUGGCCGGGCGGGUGGGACCUGCGGGUGCGCCCUAGCGACAGGCUCCAACCCCGAGCGCGGACAGAGCCGCGAAACCCGCCCCCCGCCGCUCCCCAGACGCCCGCAGUUCUAGAACGCGGAGGAGAUUCGGACAGAGGCCGGGAAGGUGCAGGGAGCCGGCCUGGGAGGAGGCAAGUCUCGCGAGAAUCCCUCGCAUUCCCCGCUCCGCCCCCGCCGCGCCGCGACUCACCACUCGACCCCCAGGCUGCUGCCAGGUCAUGACCCCUAUUCCCAUAAAUACCACAUUCUAAUGUGGCUCAUAAACACAUCUCCUCCAUCUCCUCAGCAGUCCACACUUCCUCACACAGCAUUUGCCUUGAAACCUCUUCAAUCAAAAAGAUGGUGGCCUGGAGUGGCCUAGGGUGCUAACUUCAGUGAAAUGACUUCCAACUGAAUACGGACAAUGAGAGGAGGCGCUGGUGGAAGACUGGAAGGCACAGAAGGGAAAGUAAUGGCUUCUUGAAGAGGCAUAUUCCCUGGAACAGGUUUUGGAUGGGGCCCUUGCAAGUAAUUGAGUUUCAGAGAAAAGAGGAUCUGACAUUACUGGCAUAUCUCCCCCGAGCUUGCUUACAUGAGUAUAGUUCCACAGGGAAUUGAAACAGUGCCAUAUUUCAGCCUAAGUGAAGUAGAGAAGAGACAGACAAGGCAAGGCGGCUGAUGAACUGUUUCCUUCCUCUGAUUCAGUGUAAAGCAAUUGGAUAUCUACCAAAAGUCACCAUGCCCCAAUUUUUAAAACUAUAAUUUUCUCCUUUUAUUUAUCACCAGUAUUUUAUUUAUUUAUUUAUUUGCAGAUUAUCUGUCUUUCCCUUAGAACAUUUUCACAGGGAUACAAUCAACAAGGUAAAAACUAAUUCUCAGGCAAAAAAAAAAAACAAAAACUUAAUAUCUACCAUGUAAAGCUUGUAUAUAGCCAUCAUACACACACAGAUAGAGAAUGUAUCUAUGGUAGUAAGUUUUCAUAAUUGGGGCUAUUCAGAGAAAAAAUCUAACAUGUUUCCUUAGAGAACAAUAAUAAAAAGGGAGAGAAGAGCUAUCCCAAGGGGUAAGCUUCAGAAGCUAGACCAGCAGAAUCCUUAGAAGUUGU
Long non-coding RNA from Condylura cristata (star-nosed mole), 1189 nucleotides. RefSeq lists it as uncharacterized. NCBI's taxonomy places the organism in Eukaryota, Metazoa, Chordata, Mammalia, Eulipotyphla, Talpidae. The transcript is spliced from 4 exons. The record is from RefSeq and is a predicted model, not a curated record.